AGAGUUUGAUCCUGGCUCAGGAUGAACGCUGGCGGCGUGUUUAAGGCAUGCAAGUCGAACGAAUCCCGCAAGGGAUUAGUGGCAAACGGGAGCGUAACGCAUUGGUAACCUACCCCUAACACGGUCAUAACCCCGCGAAAGCGGAGCUAAUAGCCGAUGUGCUUAACGGUCAUGAGACCGUUACGUAAAGGUUGACGCAAGUCAGCCGGUUAGGGAGGGGCCUAUGUCCUAUCAGCUUGUUGGUGAGGUAAUGGCUCACCAAGGCAACGACGGGUAUCGGGCGUGAGAGCGUGGCCCGGCUCACUGGGACUGAAACACUGCCCAGACUCCUACGGGAGGCUGCAGUCAAGAAUCUUGCGCAAUGGGCGAAAGCCUGACGCAGCGACGCCGCGUGGUCGAAGAAGCCCUUCGGGGUGUAAAGGCCUUUUACCAGGGACGAAUUUCUGACGGUACCUGGUGAAUAAGAGGUUGCUAACUCUGUGCCAGCAGCCGCGGUAA
This 498-nucleotide ribosomal RNA is filed under the name uncultured bacterium. Its description in RNAcentral is "bacterial SSU rRNA". It matches the Rfam family "Bacterial small subunit ribosomal RNA", at positions 8 to 523 of the family's 1533-position model. The record is from RNAcentral.